GUGACGGUGGUUCAGUGGUAGAACUCUUGCCUUCCAUGCAGGAGACUCAGGUUCGAUUCCCAGCCAAUGUA
RNAcentral lists this transfer RNA (71 nucleotides) under Loxodonta africana (African savanna elephant). It matches the Rfam family "tRNA". Rfam says of the family: Transfer RNA (tRNA) molecules are approximately 80 nucleotides in length. Their secondary structure includes four short double-helical elements and three loops (D, anti-codon, and T loops). Further hydrogen bonds mediate the characteristic L-shaped molecular structure. tRNAs have two regions of fundamental functional importance: the anti-codon, which is responsible for specific mRNA codon recognition, and the 3' end, to which the tRNAs corresponding amino acid is attached (by aminoacyl-tRNA synthetases). tRNAs cope with the degeneracy of the genetic code in two manners: having more than one tRNA (with a specific anti-codon) for a particular amino acid; and 'wobble' base-pairing, i.e. permitting non-standard base-pairing at the 3rd anti-codon position. Lineage: Eukaryota; Metazoa; Chordata; Mammalia; Proboscidea; Elephantidae. The record is from Rfam by way of RNAcentral.